Molecule: long non-coding RNA, 1304 nt
Filed under: Ananas comosus (pineapple)
Lineage: Eukaryota; Viridiplantae; Streptophyta; Magnoliopsida; Poales; Bromeliaceae
Description: long non-coding RNA (ACOM_LNC023851)
Source: RNAcentral
CUUGAAUGAAAAUUACACUAUUUCUCCUCCUUCACACAGAAAUAAGGAGGAAGUAGGAGGAGGAAGAGUAGAAAUAGUAUAAUUUUCGUCAAAGGAGUACAACUUUAGUUCAAAAAGUGCAACUUUUAUUUUAAAAAAUUUAAUUUUUCUCUCAAAUAAUGUAAGUUUUCUUUAAAAUAAUAUAACGUUCCUCUGAAAUAAUAUAAUUUUAUUAUUUUCUUCUUUUCUCUCUGAUUUUUCUUUUUUUCUUGUAGCUUCUUUCGACCCUCUCCGACCCUCAUCGGCUUGGCCUCCACCGUCUCCACGGUCCUUGACGAUGGUAACAAGGGCAGUGCCAUAUCCUCUUUCUUCAUCUCCUCCUCUGCUGACGCCGGCAGCUCUUAGCUACGGUAACAAGGGCAGCGCCGCCUCAGCCUCAGCCUCCACCUUCACCGACGCUGAAGAAGAAGAACUCGAAGCAGACCCAGAUGAGGGAGGAGCAGACCAAGGCGAUGAGAUUAUUGUCAAGGAGGUGCUUGCCGCUUCGAGUGUAAAUUUAAAAGUGUAAAACAAUCCAAACCUGAUAAAAUUUUUAUAAAAUUUUUUUUCACUAUUUAGAAUAAGAUCAAUACCUUUGAUUUUAAACUCAAAUUUUUUACAAUCAUUUUUUAUGAUAUUUUUAUUUUCAGCCGUUUAUUUUUAAACUACUCGUUUGAUAGGUAAAUUUCGUCGAAGAAUUAUAAAAUUUAGUUUUCAAAUACUUUUAAUAGUAUAGAUCAAAUCAAAUAAGCUAAUCGUUGAUUUAAAAACCGCAUCAUUAAAAAUAACUUAGGAGUACGAAGUACAAAGGGGUAUAUAACAUGUUUGAUUUCAAGUGCAAGUGGGGGCGUAAAUUAGCCGAACCCGAGUCAACAAAGGUAACUCAAUUGUUAUAUUUUUAUCUUUUUUUAUUUUUAAUCAAAAAUUGACCUUAAACCGCUUCAUUUAGUUAGCAAAUGAAUACGAUGCUUGCUUACCAACUGCUUAUUGAAAAAUUUGCCAACCGGAAGUUAUUAGUAAUUUUUCCAGCUAUGUAUUUAUAGAGAACCCACAAAUCAUCUGCAAUAAGGCUCCGUUUUGAAUUACAGAAAAAUUAUGUUACGUGCAGUGAGAAAAUACGAUAAAAAAAUAACUUACUUAUUUUUAUAUAUAAUAUCGCAUUUUAUGUGUUAGAAUUAGUCGGUGAUAAUAUAUUUUCUACAGCUUCAUUAAAAAAUAUAAAAAAUAUUUUUAUAUAUUUUUAUUCUAAUUUUAUUUUACCUAUUACUAUUAUAUAGAUCGAUGAA